Molecule: ribosomal RNA, 586 nt
Filed under: uncultured Bacteroidota bacterium
Lineage: Bacteria; Pseudomonadati; Bacteroidota
Description: bacterial SSU rRNA
Rfam family: Bacterial small subunit ribosomal RNA
Source: RNAcentral
CUACGGGAGGCAGCAGUGGGGAAUCUUCCGCAAUGGACGAAAGUCUGACGGAGCAACGCCGCGUGAGUGAUGACGGCCUUCGGGUUGUAAAGCUCUGUUAAUCGGGACGAAUGGUUCUUGUGCAAAUAGUGCGAGGAUUUGACGGUACCGGAAUAGAAAGCCACGGCUAACUACGUGCCAGCAGCCGCGGUAAUACGUAGGUGGCAAGCGUUGUCCGGAAUUAUUGGGCGUAAAGCGCGCGCAGGCGGAUUGGUCAGUCUGUCUUAAAAGUUCGGGGCUUAACCCCGUGAUGGGAUGGAAACUGCCAAUCUAGAGUAUCGGAGAGGAAAGUGGAAUUCCUAGUGUAGCGGUGAAAUGCGUAGAUAUUAGGAAGAACACCAGUGGCGAAGGCGACUUUCUGGACGAAAACUGACGCUGAGGCGCGAAAGCCAGGGGAGCGAACGGGAUUAGAUACCCCGGUAGUCCUGGCCGUAAACGAUGGGUACUAGGUGUAGGAGGUAUCGACCCCUUCUGUGCCGGAGUUAACGCAAUAAGUACCCCGCCUGGGGAGUACGACCGCAAGGUUGCAACUCAAAGGAAUUGACGG